This 2019-nucleotide long non-coding RNA is filed under the name Marmota monax (woodchuck). Lineage: Eukaryota; Metazoa; Chordata; Mammalia; Rodentia; Sciuridae. The record is from RNAcentral.
GUCAUGGGCCACUGCCCCUGGCUCUGGGUAGGUUCUUGUGGGUGGCUGUGGAUUGGUGAGUGGCAUUUAGGUAUGCUAAGAAAUUUUGUUCACUGCCUGCUUAUCAUUUCCUGAAGACGCUGGUCCACAGACUUAAAUGUGCAACAGAAUCACCUAUAAGGCUUGUUAAAACCCAUACCACUGGGCCCCAGCCACCAGUUUUUGAUUCAGCACUUCUAGGGUGGAUGGAACCUGAGAAUCUGCAUUUGUAAAAAAAUUCCCUGGUGUUGUCCAAGCUGCUGGUUCCGGGACCACACAUUGAGAACCACUGCCUUAAAGGAUGUGUUUCCUAGCUUUGCCCCUCCCAACCUCCCACAUCUGUUAAAAAAACGAAGAUUCCUGGGUCCCACCCUCAUCUAUUGAAUAAGUCUCUCCCGGGGAGGAGCCAGAACUUGGUUUUGUCAAGGGUCAUCUCUUGGUUCUCAUCCUCAGUGACAUUUGGAAGCAUUGUCUGAUAAUGCCAAGUGAGCAGGGCAUGGUGGCACAUGUCUAUAAUCUCAGCUGCUUGGGAGGCUGAGGCAGGGGGUACUGAAAGUUUGAGGACAGUCUAAGCAAUUUUGUAAGACCAUGUUUUUUUUUGUUUGUUUGUUUUUGGUAGCAGGGAUUGAACCCAGGACGGUCACCGUUGCAGGAAGCCAGCUAGACAAGCAGCAACAAGUGGCACUCGGAAAGACGGAGAACUCAUGCUUCAUUUUACUCCAGCCGGCACAGAGGGGAACAAACUCUAAAUUCUGAGCGCUGGCCCAUAGUUUCUCAUAACAUUUAUAGGCAAUUUUGUGCCAUAAAAUUUCUAGUCUACAUGACAGGAGGCCUUGUGUGGGGUUUCUAGUGGGAAGUGUGUUUACAGAAGCAAAAAAGCGAUAAGAGGAACUGGCUCUUUGCACAGGCAUAAAUAAAUCUUUGGCCUUGUGUCUGAAGCCUGGUCCAGGGGUGUUUACGUUUCAAAAGAGAGUAGUCAGAUUCCUAGAGACAGUUAUUUACAAUCCAAAUGGUAGGGACCUAUGGUUAAUUAGGUUUCCUGAAGAAAGGCUGACAGAAGGGUGGUGGUGGUGGUGGAGGGAACUCUGACCCUUUCCCAGGCUUUCUUUCUCAUGAUAACAUUCUUGUGAUUUCAUUUUACAACCAGGUCUGGUUUUGCUAUCUCGUAACCACUGAGCUACAUCCCCAGCCCUUUUUAUUUUAUUUUGAGACAGACUCUUCCUAAAUUCCCUAGGGCCUCACUAAAUUUUUUGAGGCUUGUUUUGAGCUUGCAAUCCUCCUGCCUCAGCCUCCUGAACCACUGGAAUUCAGGCAUGUGCUACCAAGUCCAGCUAUGAGACCCUGUUUCAAAAUAAAAAAAUAAAGGGCUGGGGAUGUAGCUCAGUUGUAUAGCAUGCCUGGGCUCAAUCCCAAAUGAUGUAAGAAACAGUGAAAAAUCAGACCCACAAGCUUAUGUUAGAAUAACAAAUAUUUGGGUUUAGAGUUUUGGAGUCACUAGUGGUUUACCUGGUAACUACAAACAACAACAGCAAAAUAAUAUAAUUAGUAAAGAAAAAUUUAAAAACCUGGGCUGGAGAUAUAGCUCGGUUGGUAGAGUGCUUUCCCCAAUGCACAAGGCCCUGGGUUCAAAAAAAAAAAGUGCUCGACUUUUUCCUCUUUCUUUCCCAAACUCAGCCUUAGACAUUAGUACUGGCUCUUCUAGUAAAUAAUGUGAAAGUUUAAACAUCUUAAUUGGCUUUAUUCAGUAUUCUAGUAUUUACCAACACUUCAUUCCUCAAAGCAAGAUGAGAUGAGCUGGGUUGAACAAAGCAGAAAUUCAGAACAAAAAGUAUAUUGGAGGUGCUGAGGUUGUGGCUCAGCGGUAGAGUGCUUGCCUAGCAUGUGUGAGGCCCUGGGCUUGAUCCUUAGCACCACAUAAAAUAAACGAAAGUUUAAAUAAAAUAAAACUAAAAAUUAAAUCGGUCAUUUCAAAGUUAUUUUCCUUGUAACAUUGGGAUAGGG